Molecule: long non-coding RNA, 301 nt
Organism: Galleria mellonella (greater wax moth)
Lineage: Eukaryota; Metazoa; Arthropoda; Insecta; Lepidoptera; Pyralidae
Exons: 3
Source: RefSeq, a predicted model, not a curated record
CCUGUAUCCAUAUUGCGAAUUUUCAUCACAGUUUAUUCCUUUGCGUGGAUUUUCAUUCAAAUAACCAUCAGAAGCCUUUGUGUAUAAAGAAGGCGACCUAGAAACUUUUGACACCAAAGGGCGACACCCUCACACGAAUAGUAAUAGUAAUCCGUCACUCUUGCCAUGCUAAUAAUGCAUAGAAUAUAGUACCGCUAAUCUUAGUUGGUUCGAUAAAAUAGAGAUCUUGAUCCUUCUAAGAAACAACUCGUCUAGAACGGUCAUUGGCGUUAGUUGGUCAUCCGUUUAUAGUAUUGUGGCU